AUCGAACGCUGGCGGCAUGCCUUACACAUGCAAGUCGAACGGCAGCACGGGUGCUUGCACCUGGUGUCGAGUGGCGAACGGGUGAGUAAUACAUCGGAACAUGUCCUGUAGUGGGGGAUAGCCCGCCGAAAGCCGGAUUAAUACCGCAUACGAUCUACGUAUGACAGCGGGGGACCUUCGGGCCUCGCGCUAUAGGGUUGGCCGAUGGCUGAUUAGCUCGUUGGUGGGGUGAAGGCCUACCAAGGCGACGAUGAGUAUCUGGUCUGAGAGGACGACCAGCAGCACUGGGAGUGAGACACGGCCCAGACGCACAGGGGUGGGGGCAGGGGGGAAAUUUGGACAAGGGGCGGAAGCCUGAUCCAGCAAUGCCGCGGGUGUAAAGAAGGCCUUCGGGUUGUAAAGCACGUUUGUCCGGUAAGAAAUCCUUGGCCCUAGUGCGGUCGGGGGAUGACGGGAACGGAGGAAAAAACACCCGCUAACUACGUG
This 486-nucleotide ribosomal RNA is filed under the name uncultured bacterium. Its description in RNAcentral is "partial 16S ribosomal RNA". It matches the Rfam family "Bacterial small subunit ribosomal RNA", at positions 29 to 507 of the family's 1533-position model. The record is from RNAcentral.